RNAcentral lists this ribosomal RNA (433 nucleotides) under uncultured bacterium. Its description in RNAcentral is "partial 16S ribosomal RNA". It matches the Rfam family "Bacterial small subunit ribosomal RNA", at positions 29 to 507 of the family's 1533-position model. The record is from RNAcentral.
AACGAACGCUGGCGGCAUGCCUAACACAUGCAAGUCGAACGAGACCUUCGGGUCUAGUGGCGAACGGGUGCGUAACGCGUGGGAACCUUCCCUUAGGUUCGGAAUAACUCCCCGAAAGGGGUGCUAAUACCGGAUAAUGUCUUCGGCCCAAAGAUUUAUCGCCUUUGGAUGGGCCCGCGUUGGAUUAGCUAGUUGGUAGGGUAAAAGCCUACCAAGGCGACGAUCCAUAGCUGGUCUGGGAGGAUGACCAGCCACACUGGGACUGUGACACGGCCCAGACUCCUACGGGAGGCAGCAGUGGGGAAUAUUGGACGAUGGGCGAAAGCCUGAUCCAGCAAGGCCGCGUGAGUGAUGAAGGACUUAGGGUUGUAAAGCUCUUUUAACCGGGAUGAUAAUGACAGUACCGGGAGAAUAAGCGCCGGCUAACUCCGUG